GACGAACGCUGGCGGCGUGCUUAACACAUGCAAGUCGAACGGUAAGGCCCUUCGGGGUACACGAGUGGCGAACGGGUGAGUAACACGUGGGUGAUCUGCCCUGCACUUCGGGAUAAGCCUGGGAAACUGGGUCUAAUACCGGUUAGGACCCUGGGAUGCAUGUCCUGGGGUGGAAAGCUUUUGCGGGGUGGGAUGGGCCCGCGGCCUAUCGGCUUGUUGGUGGGGUGAUGGCCUACCAAGGCGACGACGGGUAGCCGGCCUGAGAGGGUGACCGGGCCCAAGGGGACUGAGAGACGGCCCAGAGUCCUACGGGAGGCAGGAGUGGGGAAUAUUGCACAGUGGGCGCAAGCCGGACGCAGCGACGCCGCGUGAGGGAUGACGGCCUUCGGGUUGUAAACCUCUUUCAGCACCGACGAAGCGCAAGUGACGGUAGGUGCAGAAGAAGGACCGGCCAACUACGUGCCAGCCGCCGCCGUAA
RNAcentral lists this ribosomal RNA (478 nucleotides) under uncultured bacterium. Its description in RNAcentral is "partial 16S ribosomal RNA". It matches the Rfam family "Bacterial small subunit ribosomal RNA", at positions 28 to 523 of the family's 1533-position model. The record is from RNAcentral.